RNAcentral lists this long non-coding RNA (853 nucleotides) under Mustela putorius furo (domestic ferret). RNAcentral's name for it is "lncRNA (ENSMPUG00000031923.1)". The record is from RNAcentral. Lineage: Eukaryota; Metazoa; Chordata; Mammalia; Carnivora; Mustelidae.
UGAUCUCAGGGUCCUGGGAUCGAAUCCCGCAUCAGGCUCUCUGCUCAGCAGGAAGCCUGCUUCCCGCCUUCUCUCUCUGCUUGCCUCUUUGCCUACUUGUGAUCUCUAUCAAACAAAUAAAUAAAAUCUUAAAAAAAAAAAAAGAAGACUAGAUGGGAGUUUGACAGUUAGAGACCGAGUGUGUCUGGGUGCGGUGCCAACUUUUAGUCUCUUGUCUCCCUUCUGAAGGCACUUCCAGAGGGGACUGAUGACGACCCUGAGGUCCUUUGGAGGAGCUUUCUUCAGGCAGAGGAGGGAGAUUGAUGUCUCCCCUGCACCUCCUAUUUUCCAGCACCUUCGGCCCAAACUUCUAGGGGCUGCCUGCAUCCCUCAGCUUCCUACGUCUUCAAAGCCAGCAAUGUUGCAUGCCUGACCAUUCUUCCAUAAUCACAUCUGUCCACAACCUAGAAUUCUCAGCUUUAAGGAUUAGUAUAUGAUAACAUUGGGCCCACCUGGAUAAUCUGGGGUAAUCUCCCCAUCUCAAAAUCUUUAACCUGAAUGAUACCUGCAAAAUCCCUUUUGUCCUGUAAUCUGUUCACAGGUUCUGGGAUUAGGAUGUGGGCCUCAUGGGGAGAAGGCAUUAUUCUGCCUGUAGUAUGCACCUCUGUGUAUAAGAAAUAUUAAUUUAAACAGGCUAUCUGUAUCUUUCAUUUGUUUCGAUUUUUAUUGGUGUGUCUAUAUUUAUUUAAAAUAAGUGAAGAAAAAAUUUAAAGGUCUUUUUUCCCAUUUAUUUAUUUUUUAUUAUGUUCUGUUAGUCACUGUACAGUACAUCAUUCAUUUUUGAUGUAGUGUUCUAUGAUUCAUUGUUUGCCUG